Molecule: non-coding RNA, 30 nt
Filed under: Homo sapiens (human)
Lineage: Eukaryota; Metazoa; Chordata; Mammalia; Primates; Hominidae
Source: RNAcentral
UGGGACUCUCCAAGACUGAACUCCAGGAGC